UCCUGGCUGCUUAAGCCAACUUCUGAUUAUGGCCAUGGACCAGGAUCAGGAGGCAGGAGAAGCAGAUUCAGACUACUUGCAGCCUUAAUCCCCUCAUCCCUGGGUCUGUGUGUGCUGAGGUCACGAGACACAGCCACAUGUGUGGCAGGUGUGUCUGUGAAGCUUCAAGCAUCUCUGCCCUCCUGCUCUCCUCCCAGCAGUGCAGCCCAGCCAGGAGUGGGCUCUGAGGCUUUAACUGAAAGAUCCUCAUGCAUUGAUCUCAGACAGGUGGGGUUAGGGGAGCCCAGCAGUGUAAGAGCAGCCCCUGCCCAUCAGAAUCCCUCUGGUGACUGAUGCAACAGAAUGAGCUUGAUCAGGAAGAAAAAAAGGACUCCAGGAAGCCCCUUUGGUACCAUCUCUGACCCUGUGAGAUGCAAUACCAAUAGUCAACCAGUAGAUGUCAGAACAGCCCACAAUUUGCAAAGAGAAGCUUGAUCUUGGAAACGCUAGAAGUGGUCUAGAAGAAAGAAUGGAGGUGAAACAAGGUCAUCCAGGUGAGGCUGAUCCCACAGGAACUGCAUCCUUCUUAAUAGAUAUUUAGAGAGCUCUCUGUCCAGGGAGCUCUCUCCAUCCCUCUCAGGCCACAAGGAGAAGCCUGUGAGGACAGACAAGAAGGAAGCCUUAGGAAGAGUGUCUAUGACAGACGGGUCAUCUGCUGCCCCUUGACUUUGGACCUUCAGGCUACAGAACAUUGAGAGGACACAUCUUUACUAUCUGAGCCACUGAGACCAGGGUGAUGUGUUUCUCAAUGACAGUCCCUGAAGAUUACUUCAGAAUCUCAGCAUUCCCUGAGCAGGAGCAGCCUCAGGACCAACCUUAUGGACAUGGACCUGCUGGGCUCCUCUGUCUCCUGCUUCUUUGACUCGUGAGGAAGGAGGAUACUCAUCUUCAGUGUGUUUCUUUGCACAUGAAUUUGUUCACCUCUUUUUUCUCUGAUCACAGUCACAGCUCAUGGAGUGAAUACGUGCUAUUGAUAGUUGAUGGUCUUCAUUUUACUUCUGAAUUAGAGGCUAGGGAAUUCUAAAAUGGACCAUGUCUCUAGCUUCCCUCCUUCUGUCCCAGAAGAGAGGAUCUCUAGCCUCUGCAGGGCCUGCCUGAGGACCAACAGGGUCCCACCCUGGCAGCAACAGAAACCUGGUCUGGUUCCCAGCUCCUGCUGCCUCUCACUGCUCUGGCCAUGGUGCCUGCUCAUCUGGACAGAUGCCACUCUGCCAGUAGCUGUGCUGUUUUCAGGGCAUGUGCAUAUCCUCCAUCCCAGAGGAGUCUGUGACUUCUAACAUAUCAGUAUCACCCAGAUGCUACUCCACCAGUAGGCUGGUGAAGGUCUCAGGCCAUCCCUGGAGGCAGGCUUGGCCAAGUCUGACAGCCCCUUUCUCCACCCCUCUCUCCAUGUGGCUUUGGGCAAAUGACCCAUCCUGUGAAUAUCUUCUCAUAUGUGAAUGAUACAGUAAAGAUUCCACGGUUGCAUUCAGCUGGACCAUACCAUGGACCAUGUAAUUUACACAAAUUGGAGAAAAUUCCCAGGACUGUUUUGUACACCCAUGAAUAUUUUAGAAUGAAGACACUUCAUAAGAUAUUCCUAGUUGGGUUUCAUUCUUAACUGAAAGUCCUGUGUCACCUGAUUCUCUGGAGCCUGCCCCUCCUCUAGGCCAAGCUUCCUCCUGUGUACCACUAAAGCCUACAGUACAAAUGUAAGCCUAUUGCAACUCAGCAGGAUCUCUCAAGGACCCAAGUGCCUUUGCCAUGAGUGGAAUCAUCAAAGGAAGAGGAGCCAUGUCUCCAGGACUCUGUGGGAGGCAGAAUCCUGGCCUUGGCCAUGCGAGCCACAGUCACUACCUCUCCAUGUUUCUUUGCUCUCUGCCUCUCCUGAACAUCCACAUGCCCCUGCCUCCUAAUCAUUCCAAUCAGAGUGACGUUAAGCAUCUCUCCUACUGCUCACAUUCCAAAUAACUAUCUCAUUUCUAGCUGUUGAGUAAUGUUUUAUAGAACAUGCCCUGGGACACACCUAUAAGUCUGACUUAAGUUGACCCUAAGCCUGGAAGAAUCAAAAUCCUCAAACCAACAGAAUAUUAGACCCAGGACUAUAAGCUCAGCCCCCUAAAAUAAAGAGCUGGGGUGCUGACCAUAAAAUUAGAACCCAGAAAACAAUAGAAAAAACUUUCAAAGAUAUAAUUAUAUCCAAUCAAGACCACCCAGGACAUCAUUGACUCACAUCAAUAGCACUUAGAAACCCACUGCACUGGCCAACAGGGGAGGUAGGUGUAAGCGAUUCUCCUGUCUCCAUGUGGGUUGAUCUGCAGUGAAGUCCUUCCCUUUACUACAACCCCAGGCCAUGGGGUGCACGAGCCUGUCCUCCACUCGUGGGGCAGCGAGAUCUGGCUUAGUAUCAUACACUGUGGGCAGAUGUGCAUUUGUUCCACC
Molecule: non-coding RNA, 2460 nt
Organism: Ictidomys tridecemlineatus (thirteen-lined ground squirrel)
Lineage: Eukaryota; Metazoa; Chordata; Mammalia; Rodentia; Sciuridae
Source: RefSeq, a predicted model, not a curated record